CUCUUUCUCUGUCUCGCAACCAGCCACACCAUCUAUUCACUCAAAAUUCCAAAAAUCUUAAAACCUCAUUUCCUCCAGUCGAAAAAUCGCGAUCACCCUUCACCAUGGAAAUUUUAUUCGAAAAAAUUAUAACAGAACUCCGCUGUUCCCAAUUCGAGAACUCUUCACUCUAAGCCCGAGUAUCAACAAGAGGCCAGAAGACUGAAGAUUGCAUUUUGGAUUCUGAUUUCGCAGACUUUGUGGAGUUGCAGCCUGAGGUCUGAAGCAGCUAAAGUUGAGUGUUUUAAUCGGUUGUAUAUAUCACCCAGUUUACCCGUUCCUAUUAUUGCUCAACAGGGACGAGUUUCACAGCAGCCCAAACGAUUCAAAAUUGAAAUUUAUGUAUUACUUGAGGAAAAAUGUACAUCCUCAUCUACACAAAAACAAAAAUGAAAGAAGAGUGAACUACUAAAUGGUAGUGUGAACAGUUUGGACAUCGAAAAUAAAUAUAUUUUUAUGUGAUUGUAUUAGG
This 511-nucleotide small RNA is filed under the name Malus domestica (apple). RNAcentral's name for it is "sRNA MD14G0076600". Lineage: Eukaryota; Viridiplantae; Streptophyta; Magnoliopsida; Rosales; Rosaceae. The record is from RNAcentral.